Molecule: ribosomal RNA, 456 nt
Filed under: uncultured organism
Description: partial 16S ribosomal RNA
Rfam family: Bacterial small subunit ribosomal RNA
Source: RNAcentral
ACUCCUACGGGAGGCAGCAGUGGGGAAUAUUGCACAAUGGGCGCAAGCCUGAUGCAGCGACGCCGCGUGGGGGAUGAAGGCCUUCGGGUUGUAAACUCCUUUCGCUAGGGACGAAGCUUUUUUGUGACGGUACCUAGAUAAGAAGCACCGGCUAACUACGUGCCAGCAGCCGCGGUAAUACGUAGGGUGCGAGCGUUGUCCGGAAUUACUGGGCGUAAAGGGCUCGUAGGUGGUUUGUCGCGUCGUCUGUGAAAUUCUGGGGCUUAACUCCGGGCGUGCAGGCGAUACGGGCAUAACUUGAGUGCUGUAGGGGUAACUGGAAUUCCUGGUGUAGCGGUGAAAUGCGCAGAUAUCAGGAGGAACACCGAUGGCGAAGGCAGGUUACUGGGCAGUUACUGACGCUGAGGAGCGAAAGCAUGGGUAGCGAACAGGAUUAGAUACCCUUGUAGUCCCAUG